AACAUAAGGGACCAUAAAUGUUAUUUUGAAAAUUAUGGGACUAAAAUCACAAGUUUUUGAAAGUUAGGAGGAAAAAAGUGCAAUUUAGCCAAACAUCAACUUUGUUUGGGAUAUAUACUAUAUACUAUCAAACUAUGAUUAAAAAAAACAAAUAAUAUGCAGCAAAAAUGGCAAUUAUUAUACAUGUAAAGAAGGUAAAAUGGUAAAAUCAGAUGCAACACCCAUGUGAUAUCACAAUAUAUUAUAUAAGCAAAAGGCAAAACUUGGCGCCUAAUAUCAUUUUUUUAGCAAAGGUUAUGCAAAUGAACAAACUAAAUUUCCAAUAAACUACUAGUCCCGAAAACACUAGCCAAAAACACGUAGAGAAGAAACAACAACGCGCAACUGAUGAAAGAAGCAUGAUGCCAACUUCAGAUAGCAAGUCUUGACAGUUCAACCAACAGUAACAGGCGAAGCAAUCCUUACAUUAAGUGUAUGUUCUUCACUCACAAAAGCAACAUAUGAGGAGCCAC
RNAcentral lists this long non-coding RNA (512 nucleotides) under Trifolium pratense (red clover). Its description in RNAcentral is "long non-coding RNA (TPRA_LNC013621)". Lineage: Eukaryota; Viridiplantae; Streptophyta; Magnoliopsida; Fabales; Fabaceae. The record is from RNAcentral.